UUAAGCGACUAAGCGUACACGGUGGAUGCCCUGGCAGUCAGAGGCGAUGAAGGACGUGCUAAUCUGCGAUAAGCGUCGGUGAGGUGAUAUGAACCGUUAUAACCGGCGAUUUCCGAAUGGGGAAACCCAGUGUGUUUCGACACACUAUCAUUAACUGAAUCCAUAGGUUAAUGAGGCGAACCGGGGGAACUGAAACAUCUAAGUACCCCGAGGAAAAGAAAUCAACCGAGAUUCCCCCAGUAGCGGCGAGCGAACGGGGAGGAGCCCAGAGCCUGAAUCAGUGUGUGUGUUAGUGGAAGCGUCUGGAAAGGCGUGCGAUACAGGGUGACAGCCCCGUACACAAAAAUGCACAUAUUGUGAGCUCGAUGAGUAGGGCGGGACACGUGGUAUCCUGUCUGAAUAUGGGGGGACCAUCCUCCAAGGCUAAAUACUCCUGACUGACCGAUAGUGAACCAGUACCGUGAGGGAAAGGCGAAAAGAACCCCGGCGAGGGGAGUGAAAAAGAACCUGAAACCGUGUACGUACAAGCAGUGGGAGCCUCUUAAUGGGGUGACUGCGUACCUUUUGUAUAAUGGGUCAGCGACUUAUAUUCUGUAGCAAGGUUAACCGAAUAGGGGAGCCGAAGGGAAAGGGAGGAGGCCCCCGAGUCUUAACUGGGCGUUAAGUUGCAGGGUAUAGACCCGAAACCCGGUGAUCUAGCCAUGGGCAGGUUGAAGGUUGGGUAACACUAACUGGAGGACCGAACCGACUAAUGUUGAAAAAUUAGCGGAUGACUUGUGGCUGGGGGUGAAAGGCCAAUCAAACCGGGAGAUAGCUGGUUCUCCCCGAAAGCUAUUUAGGUAGCGCCUCGUGAAUUCAUCUCCGGGGGUAGAGCACUGUUUCGGCAAGGGGGUCAUCCCGACUUACCAACCCGAUGCAAACUGCGAAUACCGGAGAAUGUUAUCACGGGAGACACACGGCGGGUGCUAACGUCCGUCGUGAAGAGGGAAACAACCCAGACCGCCAGCUAAGGUCCCAAAGUCAUGGUUAAGUGGGAAACGAUGUGGGAAGGCCCAGACAGCCAGGAUGUUGGCUUAGAAGCAGCCAUCAUUUAAAGAAAGCGUAAUAGCUCACUGGUCGAGUCGGCCUGCGCGGAAGAUGUAACGGGGCUAAACCAUGCACCGAAGCUGCGGCAGCGACACUUAUGUGUUGUUGGGUAGGGGAGCGUUCUGUAAGCCUGUGAAGGUGGCCUGUGAGGGUUGCUGGAGGUAUCAGAAGUGCGAAUGCUGACAUAAGUAACGAUAAAGCGGGUGAAAAGCCCGCUCGCCGGAAGACCAAGGGUUCCUGUCCAACGUUAAUCGGGGCAGGGUGAGUCGACCCCUAAGGCGAGGCCGAGGGCCGAAAGGCGUAGUCGAUGGGAAACAGGUUAAUAUUCCUGUACUUGGUGUUACUGCGAAGGGGGGACGGAGAAGGCUAUGUUGGCCGGGCGACGGUUGUCCCGGUUUAAGCGUGUAGGCUGGUUUUCCAGGCAAAUCCGGAAAACCAAGGCUGAGGCGUGAUGACGAGGCACUACGGUGCUGAAGCGACAAAUGCCCUGCUUCCAGGAAAAGCCUCUAAGCAUCAGGUAACAUCAAAUCGUACCCCAAACCGACACAGGUGGUCAGGUAGAGAAUACCAAGGCGCUUGAGAGAACUCGGGUGAAGGAACUAGGCAAAAUGGUGCCGUAACUUCGGGAGAAGGCACGCUGAUAUGUAGGUGAAGCGACUUGCUCGUGGAGCUGAAAUCAGUCGAAGAUACCAGCUGGCUGCAACUGUUUAUUAAAAACACAGCACUGUGCAAACACGAAAGUGGACGUAUACGGUGUGACGGGGGCGCCACUCCCGGUGCCGGAAGGUUAAUUGAUGGGGUUAGCGGCAACGCGAAGCUCUUGAUCGAAGCCCCGGUAAACGGCGGCCGUAACUAUAACGGUCCUAAGGUAGCGAAAUUCCUUGUCGGGUAAGUUCCGACCUGCACGAAUGGCGUAAUGAUGGCCAGGCUGUCUCCACCCGAGACUCAGUGAAAUUGAACUCGCUGUGAAGAUGCAGUGUACCCGCGGCAAGACGGAAAGACCCCGUGAACCUUUACUAUAGCUUGACACUGAACAUUGAGCCUUGAUGUGUAGGAUAGGUGGGAGGCUUUGAAGUGUGGACGCCAGUCUGCAUGGAGCCGACCUUGAAAUACCACCCUUUAAUGUUUGAUGUUCUAACGUUGGCCCGUAAUCCGGGUUGCGGACAGUGUCUGGUGGGUAGUUUGACUGGGGCGGUCUCCUCCUAAAGAGUAACGGAGGAGCACGAAGGUUGGCUAAUCCUGGUCGGACAUCAGGAGGUUAGUGCAAUGGCAUAAGCCAGCUUGACUGCGAGCGUGACGGCGCGAGCAGGUGCGAAAGCAGGUCAUAGUGAGCAGGUGCGAAAGCAGGUCAUAGUGAUCCGGUGGUUCUGAAUGGAAGGGCCAUCGCUCAACGGAUAAAAGGUACUCCGGGGAUAACAGGCUGAUACCGCCCAAGAGUUCAUAUCGACGGCGGUGUUUGGCACCUCGAUGUCGGCUCAUCACAUCCUGGGGCUGAAGUAGGUCCCAAGGGUAUGGCUGUUCGCCAUUUAAAGUGGUACGCGAGCUGGGUUUGGUUUAGAACGUCGUGAGACAGUUCGGUCCCUAUCUGCCGUGGGCGCUGGAGAACUGAGGGGGGCUGCUCCUAGUACUGAGGGGGGCUGCUCCUAGUACGAGAGGGGGGGCUGCUCCUAGUACGAGAGGACCGGAGUGGACGCAUCACUGGUGUUCGGGUUGUCAUGCCAAUGGCACUGCCCGGUAGCUAAAUGCGGAAGAGAUAAGUGCUGAAAGCAUCUAAGCACGAAACUUGCCCCGAGAUGAGUUCUCCCUGAAGAGCAGUGA
This 2904-nucleotide ribosomal RNA is filed under the name Escherichia coli TOP293-3. RNAcentral describes it as "bacterial LSU rRNA". It matches the Rfam family "Bacterial large subunit ribosomal RNA". The record is from RNAcentral. Lineage: Bacteria; Pseudomonadati; Pseudomonadota; Gammaproteobacteria; Enterobacterales; Enterobacteriaceae.